This 329-nucleotide ribosomal RNA is filed under the name Prosarthria teretrirostris. RNAcentral's name for it is "partial 12S ribosomal RNA". Lineage: Eukaryota; Metazoa; Arthropoda; Insecta; Orthoptera; Proscopiidae. The record is from RNAcentral.
AGUAUUAGUUAUGUUCUUUAAACUCAAAGGAUUUGACGGUACUUUAUUCUUUUUAGAGGAACCUGCCUUAUAAUUGAUAAUUCACGAUUUGAUUUACUUUGUUUAUUUGUUUGUAUACCUCCGUUAUCAGAGAGUCUUCUUAGAGAUUAAAUYUUMUUUWAUUUUUAUUUGGUUUCAUUUCAGGUCAAGGUGCAGCUUAUAAUAAUGUAGAGGUGGGUUACAAUAUAAUUUAUUUAUAUUAUGGAUUCCAUUUUUGAUACUUGGAUGAAGGUGGAUUUAAAAGUAAUUUUAUUUGAUUAUUCUAUUUUGAAUGUAGUUCUAGAGUGUGU